GAUGGGGGGACGGAUCGCGGAAGGUUGUCUGACUGUUGGAAUAGUCAGUUUCUGCUUCAUAGAAGGCACUUAGGCAAAUCCGGGUGCGGAAUUCAAGGGAGNNNNNNNNNNGAUCGCGGAAGGUUGUCUGACUGUUGGAAUAGUCAGUUUCUGUCUCAUAGAAGGCGCUUAGGCAAAUCCGGGCGCAGGAUUCAAGGGGANNNNNNNNNNGAUCGCGGAAGGUUGUCUGACUGUUGGAAUAGUCAGUUUCUGUCUCAUAGAAGGUACUUAGGCAAAUCCGGGUACGGAAUUCAAGGGGAUGGNNNNNNNNNNAUAUUCCUGCACCGUCGUAUGAUGCGAUGGGGGGACGGAUCGCGGAAGGUUGUCCAACUGUUGGAAUAGUUGGUUUUUGGCUCAUAGAAGGCGCUUAGGCAAAUCCGGGCGCGGAAUUCAAGGGGUUGAGACGAGUGAAUUUAUUCACGAAGCAAUCGGAAGUGGUUCCAAGAAAAGCCUCUAAGCUUCAGUCAUACGAGACCGUACCGCAAACCGACACAGGUGGGCGAGAUGAGUAUUCUAAGGCGCUUGAGAGAACUCGGGAGAAGGAACUCGGCAAAUUGGUACCGUAACUUCGGGAAAAGGUACGCCCCGGUAGCUUGAUUGGUUUACUCCAUGAGGGUGAAAGGGUUGCAAUAAACUGGUGGCUGCGACUGUUUAAUAAAAACACAGCACUCUGCAAACACGAAAGUGGACGUAUAGGGUGUGACGCCUGCCCGGUGCUGGAAGAUUAAAUGAUGGGGUGCAAGCUCUUGAUUGAAGUCCCAGUAAACGGCGGCCGUAACUAUAACGGUCCUAAGGUAGCGAAAUUCCUUGUCGGGUAAGUUCCGACCUGCACGAAUGGCGUAACGAUGGCCACACUGUCUCCUCCCGAGACUCAGCGAAGUUGAAAUGUUUGUGAUGAUGCAAUCUACCCGCGGCUAGACGGAAAGACCCCAUGAACCUUUACUGUAGCUUUGCAUUGGACUUUGAACCAAUCUGUGUAGGAUAGGUGGGAGGCUUUGAAGCGGGGACGCUAGUUCUCGUGGAGCCAACCUUGAAAUACCACCCUGGUUUGUUUGAGGUUCUAACCUUGGUCCGUUAUCCGGAUCGGGGACAGUGCAUGGUAGGCAGUUUGACUGGGGCGGUCUCCUCCUAAAGUGUAACGGAGGAGUUCGAAGGUACGCUAGAUACGGUCGGACAUCGUGUUGAUAGUGCAAUGGCAUAAGCGUGCUUAACUGCGAGACUGACAAGUCGAGCAGGUACGAAAGUAGGACAUAGUGAUCCGGUGGUUCUGUAUGGAAGGGCCAUCGCUCAACGGAUAAAAGGUACUCUGGGGAUAACAGGCUGAUUCCUCCCAAGAGUUCAUAUCGACGGGGGAGUUUGGCACCUCGAUGUCGGCUCAUCACAUCCUGGGGCUGUAGCCGGUCCCAAGGGUAUGGCUGUUCGCCAUUUAAAGUGGUACGUGAGCUGGGUUUAAAACGUCGUGAGACAGUUUGGUCCCUAUCUGCCGUGGGCGUUGGAAAUUUGAAGGGGGCUGCUCCUAGUACGAGAGGACCGGAGUGGACGAACCUCUGGUGUACCGGUUGUCACGCCAGUGGCAUUGCCGGGUAGCUAAGUUCGGAAGAGAUAACCGCUGAAAGCAUCUAAGCGGGAAACUUGCCUUGAGAUGAGAUUUCCCAGAGCCUUGAGCUCUUUGAAGGGUCGUUCGAGACCAGGACGUUGAUAGGCUGGGUGUGGAAGUGCAGUAAUGCAUUAAGCUAACCAGUACUAAUUGCCCGUACGGCUUGUCCCU
Molecule: ribosomal RNA, 1807 nt
Organism: Janthinobacterium sp. KBS0711
Lineage: Bacteria; Pseudomonadati; Pseudomonadota; Betaproteobacteria; Burkholderiales; Oxalobacteraceae
Rfam family: Bacterial large subunit ribosomal RNA
Source: Rfam